Ailuropoda melanoleuca (giant panda) is the source of this 689-nucleotide long non-coding RNA. RefSeq lists it as uncharacterized. The record is from RefSeq and is a predicted model, not a curated record. The transcript is spliced from 3 exons. Lineage: Eukaryota; Metazoa; Chordata; Mammalia; Carnivora; Ursidae.
UAGAGUCCAGGUGGGAUCCCAGCCAGGCCCCAGGCAGGGGUCGGGGCAGCCAUGGGCAGUAGCCGCCCCCCCACACCCCCUCACCCUGCCGAAUUGCUGGCCGGGCAGGGCUGGGCCCUGGGAGCAGACGUGCCCAUCCAGGAGCCGCCCCGCCCCCUCCCGGAUGUGUGGUUUUGCCCUGGGCUGUUGACUUCCACUGGCUGAGACGAGGCAGCAGAUCUCCACCCAGCUAGGCUGAGGAUCCUUCACGGGGACUCAGCCCCUCAUCCGGUGGGAUGGGGUAGUCAGGGUUGGCUUCCUGGAGGAGGUGGCACCUCAAGCAGGUCUUGAAGACUGAGCAGGACUUAGAAGGGUGCUGGAGGGUGAGGGCAAGCACCAGCCUGGCCCAGCUGUGGGUGAUUCCGGGUCAUUGGGGUUCUCAAGCCAGCCCUCCCACGACCCCCUUGCCAUCCCCGGCCCACAUCUGGAACUGCUCGCUGAUGGCAAGGUCAGCACAGAAAGUCUCAGCCCCCACCUGGCAAGGAGCAGCGCUGGAACCAGGACACACGGCCUCGGGCCGGCUCUCCCCCUGGCUGGGGGCUUGGCAGCCUUUGGCACGUAGCAGCUGGCUCUUUUCUUCCCUGCUGGGGCUGUGACGCUCCACACCCCGGCCUGGGGCCCCACCCGGGGCUUGAACUCACCACCCUGAG